This 16-nucleotide small RNA is filed under the name Arabidopsis thaliana (thale cress). RNAcentral's name for it is "ATSL211970". The record is from RNAcentral. Lineage: Eukaryota; Viridiplantae; Streptophyta; Magnoliopsida; Brassicales; Brassicaceae.
CAUUUCACCUCUUCUU